AUUGAACGCUGGCGGAAUGCUUUACACAUGCAAGUCGAACGGCAGCACGGGGGCAACCCUGGUAGCGAGUGGCGAACGGGUGAGUAAUACAUCGGAACGUGCCCAGUCGUGGGGGAUAACGUAGCGAAAGUUACGCUAAUACCGCAUACGAUCUACGGAUGAAAGCGGGGGACCGUAAGGCCUCGCGCGAUUGGAGCGGCCGAUGUCAGAUCAGGUAGUUGGUGAGGUAAAGGCUCACCAAGCCGACGAUCUGUAGCCGGUCUGAGAGGACGACCAGCCACACGGGAAGUGAGACCCGGCCCAGAGUCCUACGGGAGGCAGCAGGGGGGAAUUUUGGACAAGGGGCGCAAGCCUGAUCCAGCCAUUCCGCGUGCAGGACGAAGGCCUUCGGGUUGUAAACUGCUUUUGUACGGAACGAAAAGGCUCUGGUUAAUACCUGGGGCUCAUGACGGUACCGUAAGAAUAAGCACCAGCUAACUACGUGCCAGCCGCCGCGGUAA
Molecule: ribosomal RNA, 500 nt
Filed under: uncultured bacterium
Lineage: Bacteria
Description: partial 16S ribosomal RNA
Rfam family: Bacterial small subunit ribosomal RNA
Source: RNAcentral